Molecule: ribosomal RNA, 440 nt
Filed under: uncultured bacterium
Lineage: Bacteria
Description: partial 16S ribosomal RNA
Rfam family: Bacterial small subunit ribosomal RNA
Source: RNAcentral
CCUACGGGAGGCAGCAGUGGGGAAUAUUGCACAAUGGGGGAAACCCUGAUGCAGUGACGCCGCGUGAGUGAAGAAGUAAUUCGUUAUGUAAAGCUCUAUCAGCAGGGAAGAAAAUGACGGUACCUGAGUAAGAAGCCCCGGCUAACUACGUGCCAGCAGCCGCGGUAAUACGUAGGGGGCAAGCGUUAUCCGGAGUUACUGGGGGGAAAGGGAGCGUAGACGGCAGUGCAAGUCUGGAGUGAAAGGCGGGGGCUCAACCCCCGGACUGCUCUGGAAACUGUACGGCUGGAGUGCAGGAGAGGUAAGUGGAAUUCCUAGUGUAGCGGUGAAAUGCGUAGAUAUUAGGAGGAACACCAGUGGCGAAGGCGGCUUACUGGACUGUAACUGACGUUGAGGCUCGAAAGCGUGGGGAGCAAACAGGAUUAGAUACCCGUGUAGUC